This 253-nucleotide ribosomal RNA is filed under the name uncultured bacterium. RNAcentral describes it as "partial 16S ribosomal RNA". It matches the Rfam family "Bacterial small subunit ribosomal RNA", at positions 524 to 776 of the family's 1533-position model. The record is from RNAcentral.
UACGGAGGGGGCUAGCGUUAUUCGGAAUUAUUGGGCGUAAAGGGCGCGUAGGCGGCUUGAUAAGUCAAAGGUGAAAUCCCUCGGCUCAACUGAGGAACUGCCUUUGAAACUGUCGAGCUUGAGGCCGGGAGGGGGUAGCGGAAUUCCCAGUGUAGCGGUGAAAUGCGUAGAUACUGGGAGGAACACCGGUGGCGAAGGCGGCUACCUGGACCGGUUCUGACGCUGAGGCGCGAAAGCGUGGGUAGCAAACAGG